UACGGAGGAUGCGAGCGUUAUCCGGAUUUAUUGGGUUUAAAGGGUGCGCAGGCGGCACGGCAAGCCGGCGGUCAAAUCGCGGGGCUCAACCCUGCCCAGCCGUCGGAACUGCCGGGCUAGAGUGGGCGAGAAGUGCGCGGAAUGCGUGGUGUAGCGGUGAAAUGCAUAGAUAUCACGCAGAACUCCGAUUGCGAAGGCAGCGCACCGGCGCCCUACUGACGCUCAGGCACGAAAGCGUGGGUAUCGAACAGG
This 252-nucleotide ribosomal RNA is filed under the name uncultured bacterium. Its description in RNAcentral is "partial 16S ribosomal RNA". It matches the Rfam family "Bacterial small subunit ribosomal RNA", at positions 524 to 776 of the family's 1533-position model. The record is from RNAcentral.